Molecule: ribosomal RNA, 360 nt
Filed under: uncultured bacterium
Lineage: Bacteria
Description: bacterial SSU rRNA
Rfam family: Bacterial small subunit ribosomal RNA
Source: RNAcentral
AGUUAACGCUGGCGGCGUGCCUAACACAUGCAAGUCGAGCGAGCUUGUAGCAAUACAAGUUAGCAGCAAACGGUGAGUAACACAUGGGAAACCUCCCUCAGAAUGGGAACAUCUCCGAGAAAUCGGAGCUAAUACCGCAUAAGACCACAGUCUGGCAUCAGACAGGGGUAAAAAGCAGCAAUGCGUUUUGAGAUGGUCCUGUGUCCUAUCAGCUAGUUGGUGAGGUAACGGCUCACCAAGGCUAAGACGGGUAAUCCGGCCUGAAAGGGUGAACGGACACACUGGAACUGAGACACGGUCCAGACUCUACGGAGGCAGCAGUGGGGAAUUUUGGACAAUGGGGGAAACCCGUACGAUCCA